Cinara cedri is the source of this 477-nucleotide non-coding RNA. The record is from the annotation of a GenBank genome assembly. NCBI's taxonomy places the organism in Eukaryota, Metazoa, Arthropoda, Insecta, Hemiptera, Aphididae.
GAUUUCGAGUGUAGCGAAGAAUGUAUUGUCCUUUUUUUUUUCUAUACAAUGACAAAAAUUGCUACCAUAAAUCUUACCUCGAUACGUACGUAUAUUAACACAUUUGAAAUUAAAUAUAGUCUAGAAAAUAGUCUUCAGGAGGUCAUUUUUUGAUUUUCCAAACGGCUUUUAUAAUAUCUGGGAAAACUCGGGAGAAUAUGUAAAGAAAGUGGAAAAUUUCCAUAAACAAUGCUUUUUAUUAUUUUUAAUUGUGUUAUUUGUUGUAUUUAGUCCAAAAUAUUCGUCGAGAAUUGAAAUUUGGAUAGAAAACUUAUAUUUGCCUAUUUCUGUAAACAAACAUUUGAUCCAUAUUUAAGUUAUUUAAAAACACUUUAUUUUGUGAGGAAUAUUUAUUUUAUAGAUGCACAUGGAUAAAAUUUUGAAACAAACCAGAAAUGAAUGAAAAUUGAACAGGAGUUUAAUAUCAUAGGUCGCAUA